RNAcentral lists this ribosomal RNA (253 nucleotides) under uncultured bacterium. RNAcentral's name for it is "partial 16S ribosomal RNA". It matches the Rfam family "Bacterial small subunit ribosomal RNA", at positions 524 to 776 of the family's 1533-position model. The record is from RNAcentral.
UACGGAGGGGGCUAGCGUUGUUCGGAAUUACUAGGCGUAAAGCGCACGUAGGCGGCUUUGUAAGUUAGAGGUGAAAGCCCGGGGCUCAACUCCGGAAUUGCCUUUAAGACUGCAUCGCUAGAAUUGUGGAGAGGUAAGUGGAAUUCCGAGUGUAGAGGUGAAAUUCGUAGAUAUUCGGAAGAACACCAGUGGCGAAGGCGACUUACUGGACACAUGUUGACGCUGAGGUGCGAAAGCGUGGGGAGCAAACAGG